UUGCCAGACUCCUACGGGAGGCAGCAGUGAGGAAUAUUGGUCAACGGGCGGAAGCCUGAACCAGCCAAGUCGCGUGAGGGAAGAAGGCCCUGCGGGUCGCAGACCUCUUUGGACGGGGAGCAAGGCCGCCGACGUGUCGGCGGAAGGAGAGUACCCGUAGAACAAGCAUCGGCUAACUCCGUGCCAGCAGCCGCGGUAAUACGUAGGGUGCGAGCGUUAAUCGGAAUUACUGGGCGUAAAGGGUGUGCAGGCGGCUGAGUAAGACAGAUGUGAAAUCCCCGGGCUUAACCUGGGAACCGCAUAUGUGACUGCUUGGCUAGAGUGCGUCAGAGGGAGGUGGAAUUCCACGUGUAGCAGUGAAAUGCGUAGAUAUGUGGAAGAACACCGAUGGCGAAGGCAGCCUCCUGGGACGCAACUGACGCUCAGACACGAAAGCGUGGGGAGCAAACAGGAUUAGAUACCCUUGUAU
This 469-nucleotide ribosomal RNA is filed under the name uncultured bacterium. RNAcentral's name for it is "bacterial SSU rRNA". It matches the Rfam family "Bacterial small subunit ribosomal RNA", at positions 328 to 793 of the family's 1533-position model. The record is from RNAcentral.